This 245-nucleotide ribosomal RNA is filed under the name uncultured Veillonellaceae bacterium. RNAcentral describes it as "partial 16S ribosomal RNA". It matches the Rfam family "Bacterial small subunit ribosomal RNA", at positions 524 to 769 of the family's 1533-position model. The record is from RNAcentral. Lineage: Bacteria; Bacillati; Bacillota; Negativicutes; Veillonellales; Veillonellaceae.
UACGUAGGCGGCAAGCGUUGUCCGGAAUUAUUGGGCGUAAAGGGAGCGCAGGCGGGGAAACAAGUCUUUCCUGAAAGUUCGGGGCUCAGCCCCGUGAUGGGAAGGAAACUGUAUCUCUUGAGGGCAGGAGAGGGAAGCGGAAUUCCCGGUGUAGCGGUGAAAUGCGUAGAUAUCGGGAAGAACACCAGUGGCGAAGGCGGCUUUCUGGACUGUGCCUGACGCUGAGGCUCGAAAGCCAGGGGAGC